UGAACCUAUGACGGUUUGUUCCAUAUUUCUGACAUAAAUGUAGUUAGAAUGUUGUAUUUUCGUGUUAAAUGAUGCUAAAGUUUCAGAAGACGGUUUGGAUGGCCUUGAACGCUCACCUGCUCCCUGUGACGUCACGUGGAACCCGGACUUCCUGAUAUGGGCGUUUCCGGAUACACGCGCCUCCCGCUCUGCCGCUGCGAUUCAUGGAGCUAGCAUGGAGCUAGGCGCUAAUGGCUUCCAGGAAAUAUUUUUUUCAGGGUUUAAGUACCGCUAACCAGAAGUGCUUAACGUUGCCAAUUCCAGGUUAAGAGAAAAAUGGAGGAAUGUUUUGGCGAAGCUGGACUAUUCUACGCCUUUCCAACGUCAGAAGCUAACCUCGUGGAACUUUUCAUUGGAAUGCAUUUCCCUUUUGGAAAGGAUGCCAGGUUCAGAUUUGGGUCGUUAAAAAGAGACGGAGGAGGGCUCUGAGAGCGUGUGUGUGUGGGGGCGUGGCUACAGCCAGAACCCGAGCUAGUGUGGGCGUGUCUGACCGCCAGCUGGAAGCAAGUCCUGUGAGGUAAUAGCGGUAGUUAGUAAUUCCAUGCAGUGAUAAUGGCGGCUCGUCACCGUAACAAAGUCAACUCAAAUAAGGCACUUGAACAGAAAUUCAUUACAGUCAAUGAGGUACUUAACUCUUGCCUGCCCUCUGGUGGACAAACCAUAAUAAUGCACCUUUCUAUGGCCAGUGUUGGGAUUUAUUUGAGCCGUCGUUAUUAAGUUAGCUUAGCAUUCCUGCUAAUGUAACCGGCUGCCAAAGCACCUUUUAUAAGAAAUAAACACUUUGUGUUGACAACACACGGCAGAAGAUGAAAAAAAGGCAUUUUGGAGUAGUUUGACGACAUAAAAACGCAGUAAAAAUGAAUAAAAAGUCAAUUUUAAAGGUAAUACUUUGGUGAAUGCUUCAGUCGCUGGAAGCUUAUGUUGUCAUUGUAUAUAAAGGUAUGUAGUAUAUACAGUACAGUACUAUGCUACGCUAAUGAUAAAUAUAUGAAUAUUAAUUAUGCCUUUGUUAUGGAAGCAAAGAAAGGCUACCUCUGCUCAUCUCUGACAUUUACAUAUAUUAUAUAUAUUAUAUAUAUUUUGGAAUAGAAUUGUUGCUUGUUGGGAAUGUGUAAAUAAGCAAAAAUAUUAUGUUUUGUCGUUUUCCUGCAUUUUUGCUGUAAUUAGUUUACAUGAAAAAAGCAAAAAAGAGCAUUUCUUUGCUUCCAUUACAGAUCUUAUUUGGGGGCGGAGCCAUAUCAGGUCACAUGAUAUAAGUAUAAGUAUACCAUACUGUACGUAUGGAUGGUCAGAGGAAGUUUGAGGCUGCUGAGUUGUGAUCACAGUGAAGACGCUUGUGGCGGUUCAUGAGAGGAAGCGGUCCUAACGGAGGAGGGCGGGGCUUAUACGUAAGAGCACUGCGACCCCCCACCCUCCCUUCAGUCAUCCUCCGUCGCCUCGGUCUUGACGUCAUGAACCUCGCUGGGCCCCGCCCUCUCCACCUGAUUGACAGCCGCCGUCUCCAAACAGGCCGCGUCUCGGGGCUCGACCAGCGCACUGCGAACGGCGGCUUCAUCCUGGAGGGACGGAGAAGGCGGCGACCAGGACGCACCUGCCCCAGAAAGGAGGGAGCGGCCGAUUACGGCGCCGCCUCUGUGCUGGCCGGCCACGCCUCCUCGGGCGGUCAGGGCAGCCAACCAGCUGGGGAGCAGCGUGGGAACCUGUCGUCGAGAGAAAGGGAUGGAGGGUGACUUCCUGCAAGGUCGUGCGAUGGUGUAGGGGGGGUCCUACCUGGGUGGGCGACGAUAGGUCGGCUCGAGCGAAGGCAAAGGGGCGGGCGGCAACUCGCUUGUCAAACAAAGACACGUCACAACUCUGAAACGAUGCAUGACAGCGUGAAUGCUAAUGCUAACGCUAAAGCUCAAAGAUUCCCUCAUAGAUGGAAAGAUCUGCGGUUCCGGAACGUUCAUCCCUUGCUCAGACCUGCUCAGCGAAGUCGUUGCCGUCCACCUCGUCGCUGUUGGACUGACCGCCCGGGCUUUGGACGUCGAUGCCGUGGCUUUCCAAGAUGGUUGCUUCUUCAAGACACACAAAUAUUCCUCACAGCUUCUGGACGUUCUAGGAGAAAUGCAUCUGUGGCGGGACUUUACCGAUGUUGGCUCGCCUCUUCAGGUCUUUGCGACGGUUGGCGAACCAGUUGUAGACCUUCAGGGAUGUCACCUUCUCGAAGUCCAGCAGCUUCUUACCUGAACGUACAACAAGCACACAUUGUGUUGCUGCGCCCGGAGGCCAAGGACCACCUGGGGUUGGCUUCCGCCUUCACACACCUGCUUUUUGGAUGACCGCAUUGCAGGCGGAGGAAAUCUCCUCCCUCUUGGCUUCGUCUGGAUAUUGAUUAUCGCUGAAAUAGCUGACACACACACACACACACACAUUACAAUAUUACAAUGUUAGUCUUCUCUGUGAGUCUUUACCUCUCCAUGACAGCCAGACACUCUUUCUUCCAGGUGAAUCGGUUCCCCCUUCGCAGACGGAAGGCCCCGGGGGUGGGGGCAAAUGUGGGCGGGGCUUGGUGCCAGUCCAUCAUGUCCUCCAGGGCCAACGGGGCAGCUCGCAGGGCCAGCGUCGCACCUGGUGACAGGUAAUCAACCGUUAAGGACGUGAAAAAAACGACAUACUAACCCCUUACGUUUUUUUCAAAAAAUCACAAAAUUAAAAACCUGGCAUUUUAUGCCAUUUUUGGGUGCUUCUCAAGCCCCUGAUGAGUGUGUGUGAGGUUUCCCCCUUAUUUUUCACCAGAAAAGUGCAUUAAAAGCAAGUUGAAAAAAAUGAAAAAAACGACAUACUAACCCCUUACGUUUUUUGUAAAAAAUCACCAAAUUAAAGAUCUAGCAUUUUAUGCCAUUUUUGGGCGCUUCUCAGGCCCCUGGUGUGUGUGUGUGAGGUUUCCCCCUUAUUUUUGACCAGAAAAGUGCAUUAAAAGCAGGUUGAAAAAAAUGAAAAAAACGACAUACUAACCCCUUACGUUUUUUGUCAAAAAUCACCAAAUUAAAAACCUGGCAUUUUAUGCCAUUUUUGGGUGCUCCUGGUGCCCCUGUUGAGUGUGUGUGAGGUUUCCCCCUUAUUUUUAACCAGAAAAGUGCAUUAAAAGCAAGUUGAAAAAAAUGAAAAAAACGACAUACUAACCCCUUACGUUUUUUCCAAAAAAUCACAAAAUUAAAAACCUGGCAUUUUAUGCCGUUUUCGGGUGCUUCUCAGGCCCCUGUUGAGUGUGUGUGAGGUUUCCUUUUUAUUUUUGACCAGGAAAGUGCAUUAAAAGCAGGUUGAAAAAAAUGAAAAAAACGACAUACUAACCCCUUACGUUUUUUGUCAAAAAUCACCAAAUUAAAAACCUGGCAUUUUAUGCCGUUUUCGGGUGCUUCUCAGGCCCCUGUUGAGUGUGUAUGAAGUUUCCCCCUUAUUUUUGACCAGAAAAGUGCAUUAAAAGCAGGUUGAAAAAAAUGAAAAAAACGACAUACUAACCCCUUACGUUUUUUUCAAAAAAUCACAAAAUUAAAAACCUGGCAUUUUAUGCCAUUUUUGGGUGCUCCUGGGGCCCCCGUUGAGUGUGUGUGAGGUUUCCCCCUUAUUUUUGACCAGAAAAGUGCAUUAAAAGCAAGUUGAAAAAAAAUGAAAAAAACGACAUACUAACCCCUUACGUUUUUUGUCAAAAAUCACAAAAUUAAAAACCUGGCAUUUUAUGCCAUUUUUGGGUGCUCCUGGUGCCCCUGUUGAGUGUGUGUGAGGUUUCCCCCUUAUUUUUAACCAGAAAAGUGCAUUAAAAGCAAGUUGAAAAAAAUGAAAAAAACGACAUACUAACCCCUUACGUUUUUUGUCAAAAAUCACCAAAUUAAAAAUCUAGCAUUUUAUGCCAUUUUUGGGUGCUCCUGGUGCCCCUGUUGAGUGUGUGUGAGGUUUCCUCCUUAUUUUUAACCAGAAAAGUGCAUUAAAAGCAAGUUGAAAAAAAUGAAAAAAACGACAUACGUUUUUUGUCAAAAAUCACCAAAUUAAAAAUCUAGCAUUUUAUGCCAUUUUUGGGCGCUUCUCAGGCCCCUGUUGAGUGUGUGUGAGGUUUCCCCCUUAUUUUUGACCAGAAAAGUGCAUUAAAAGCAAGUUGAAAAAAAAAUAAAAAAACGACAUACUAACCCCUUACGUUUUUUUCAAAAAAUCACCAAAUUAAAAAUCUAGCAUUUUAUGCCAUUUUUGGGCGCUUCUCAGGCCCCUGUUGAGUGUGUGUGAGGUUUCCCCCUUAUUUUUGACCAGAAAAGUGCAUUAAAAGCAAGUUGAAAAAAAUGAAAAAAACGACAUACUAACCCCUUACGUUUUUUGUCAAAAAUCAACAAAUUAGAAACCUGGCAUUUCAUGCCGUUUUUGGGUGCUUCUCAGUCCCCUAAUGUGUGUGUGUGAGGUUUCCUUUUUAUUUUUGACCAGAAAAGUGCAUUAAAAGCAAGUUGAAAAAAAUGAGAAAAACGACAUACUAACCCCUUACGUUUUUUGUCAAAAAUCAACAAAUUAGAAACCUGGCAUUUAAUGCCGUUUUUGGGUGCUCCUGGUGCCCCUGUUGAGUGUGUGUGAGGUUUCCCCCUUAUUUUUGACCAGAAAAGUGCAUUAAAAGAAAGUUGAAAAAAAUGAAAAAAACGACAUACGUUUUUUGUCAAAAAUCACCAAAUUAAAAAUGUAGCAUUUUAUGCCAUUUUUGGGCGCUUCUCAGGCCCCUGUUGAGUGUGUGUGAGGUUUCCUCCUUAUUUUUAACCAGAAAAGUGCAAUAAAAGCAAGUUGAAAAAAAUGAAAAAAACGACAUACUAACCCCUUACGUUUUUUCCAAAAAAUCACAAAAUUAAAAACCUGGCAUUUUAUGCCGUUUUUGGGUGCUUCUCAGGCCCCUGAUGUGUGUGUGUGAGGUUUCCUCCUUAUUUUUAACCAGAAAAGUGCAUUAAAAGCAAGUUGAAAAAAAUGAAAAAAACGACAUACUAACCCCUUACGUUUUUUGUCAAAAAUCAACAAAUUAGAAACCUGGCAUUUUAUGCCGUUUUUGGGUGCUUCUCAGUCCCCUAAUGUGUGUGUGUGAGGUUUCCUUUUUAUUUUUGACCAGAAAAGUGCAUUAAAAGCAGGUUGAAAAAAAUGAAAAAAACGACAUACUAACCCCUUACGUUUUUUGUCAAAAAUCACAAAAUUUAAAACCUGGCAUUUUAUGCCAUUUUUGGGUGCUUCUCAGGCCCCUGAUGUGUGUGUGUGAGGUUUCCCCCCUUAUUUUUGACCAGAAAAGUGCAUUAAAAGCAAGUUGAAAAAAAUGAAAAAAACGACAUACUAACCCCUUACGUUUUUUGUCAAAAAUCACCAAAUUAAAAACCUGGCAUUUUAUGCCGUUUUCGGGUGCUUCUCAGGCCCCUGUUGAGUGUGUGUGAAGUUUCCCCCUUAUUUUUGACCAGAAAAGUGCAUUAAAAGCAAGUUGAAAAAAAUGAAAGAAAACGACAUACUAAUCCCUUACGUUUUUUGUCAAAAAUCACCAAAUUAAAAACCUGGCAUUUUAUGCCAUUUUUGGGUGCUCCUGGUGCCCCUGUUGAGUGUGUGUGAGGUUUCCCCCUUAUUUUUAACCAGAAAAGUGCAUUAAAAGCAAGUUGAAAAAAAUGAAAGAAAACGACAUACUAAUCCCUUACGUUUUUUGUCAAAAAUCACCAAAUUAAAAACCUGGCAUUUUAUGCCAUUUUUGGGUGCUCCUGGUGCCCCUGGUGUGUGUGUGUGAGGUUUCCCCCUUAUUUUUGACCAGAAAAGUGCAUUAAAAGCAGGUUGAAAAAAAUGAAAAAAACGACAUACCUUACGUUUUUUCCAAAAAAUCACAAAAUUAAAAACCUGGCAUUUUAUGCCGUUUUCGGGUGCUCCUGGGGCCCCUGUUGAGUGUGUGUGAGGUUUCCUCCUUAUUUUUAACCAGAAAAGUGCAUUAAAAGCAAGUUGAAAAAAAUGAAAAAAACGACAUACGUUUUUUGUCAAAAAUCACCAAAUUAAAAAUCUAGCAUUUUAUGCCAUUUUUGGGCGCUUCUCAGGCCCCUGUUGAGUGUGUGUGAGGUUUCCCCCUUAUUUUUGACCAGAAAAGUGCAUUAAAAGCAAGUUGAAAAAAAUGAAAAAAACGACAUACUAACCCCUUACGUUUUUUGUCAAAAAUCAACAAAUUAGAAACCUGGCAUUUUAUGCCGUUUUUGGGUGCUUCUCAGUCCCCUAAUGUGUGUGUGUGAGGUUUCCUUUUUAUUUUUGACCAGAAAAGUGCAUUAAAAGCAAGUUGAAAAAAAUGAGAAAAACGACAUACUAACCCCUUACGUUUUUUGUCAAAAAUCAACAAAUUAGAAACCUGGCAUUUAAUGCCGUUUUUGGGUGCUCCUGGUGCCCCUGUUGAGUGUGUGUGAGGUUUCCCCCUUAUUUUUGACCAGAAAAGUGCAUUAAAAGCAAGUUGAAAAAAAUGAAAAAAACGACAUACGUUUUUUGUCAAAAAUCACCAAAUUAAAAAUCUAGCAUUUUAUGCCAUUUUUGGGCGCUUCUCAGGCCCCUGGUGUGUGUGUGUGAGGUUUCCCCCUUAUUUUUGACCAGAAAAGUGCAUUAAAAGCAAGUUGAAAAAAAAAUAAAAAAACGACAUACUAACCCCUUACGUUUUUUGUCAAAAAUAAACAAAUUAGAAACCUGGCAUUUAAUGCCAUUUUUGGGUGCUCCUGGUGCCCCUGUUGAGUGUGUGUGAGGUUUCCUCCUUAUUUUUAACCAGAAAAGUGCAAUAAAAGCAAGUUGAAAAAAAUGAAAAAAACGACAUACUAACCCCUUACGUUUUUUGUCAAAAAUCACCAAAUUAAAAAUCUAGCAUUUUAUGCCAUUUUUGGGCGCUUCUCAGGCCCCUGGUGUGUGUGUGUGAGGUUUCCCCCUUAUUUUUGACCAGAAAAGUGCAUUAAAAGCAGGUUGAAAAAAAUGAAAAAAAACGACAUACUAACCCCUUACGUUUUUUCCAAAAAAUCACAAAAUUAAAAACCUGGCAUUUUAUGCCGUUUUCGGGUGCUCCUGGGGCCCCUGUUGAGUGUGUGUGAGGUUUCCCCCUUAUUUUUAACCAGAAAAGUGCAUUAAAAGCAAGUUGAAAAAAAUGAAAAAAACGACAUACUAACCCCUUACGUUUUUUGUCAAAAAUCACAAAAUUUAAAACCUGGCAUUUUAUGCCAUUUUUGGGUGCUUCUCAGGCCCCUGAUGUGUGUGUGUGAGGUUUCCCCCCUUAUUUUUGACCAGAAAAGUGCAUUAAAAGCAAGUUGAAAAAAAUGAAAAAAACGACAUACUAACCCCUUACGUUUUUUCCAAAAAAUCACAAAAUUAAAAACCUGGCAUUUUAUGCCGUUUUUGGGUGCUCCUGGUGCCCCUGUUGAGUGUGUGUGAGGUUUCCUCCUUAUUUUUAACCAGAAAAGUGCAUUAAAAGCAAGUUGAAAAAAAUGAAAAAAACGACAUACGUUUUUUGUCAAAAAUCACCAAAUUAAAAAUCUAGCAUUUUAUGCCAUUUUUGGGCGCUUCUCAGGCCCCUGUUGAGUGUGUGUGAGGUUUCCCCCUUAUUUUUGACCAGAAAAGUGCAUUAAAAGCAAGUUGAAAAAAAUGAAAAAAACGACAUACUAACCCCUUACGUUUUUUGUCAAAAAUCAACAAAUUAGAAACCUGGCAUUUUAUGCCGUUUUUGGGUGCUUCUCAGUCCCCUAAUGUGUGUGUGUGAGGUUUCCUUUUUAUUUUUGACCAGAAAAGUGCAUUAAAAGCAAGUUGAAAAAAAUGAAAAAAACGACAUACUAACCCCUUACGUUUUUUCCAAAAAAUCACAAAAUUAAAAACCUGGCAUUUUAUGCCGUUUUUGGGUGCUCCUGGUGCCCCUGUUGAGUGUGUGUGAGGUUUCCUCCUUAUUUUUAACCAGAAAAGUGCAUUAAAAGCAAGUUGAAAAAAAAAUAAAAAAACGACAUACUAACCCCUUACGUUUUUUUCAAAAAAUCACCAAAUUAAAAAUCUAGCAUUUUAUGCCAUUUUUGGGCGCUUCUCAGGCCCCUGUUGAGUGUGUGUGAGGUUUCCCCCUUAUUUUUAACCAGAAAAGUGCAAUAAAAGCAAGUUGAAAAAAAUGAAAAAAACGACAUACUAACCCCUUACGUUUUUUGUCAAAAAUCACCAAAUUAAAAAUCUAGCAUUUUAUGCCAUUUUUGGGCGCUUCUCAGGCCCCUGAUGUGUGUGUGUGAGGUUUCCCCCUUAUUUUUGACCAGAAAAGUGCAUUAAAAGCAGGUUGAAAAAAAUGAAAAAAAACGACAUACUAACCCCUUACGUUUUUUCCAAAAAAUCACAAAAUUAAAAACCUGGCAUUUUAUGCCGUUUUCGGGUGCUCCUGGGGCCCCUGUUGAGUGUGUGUGAGGUUUCCCCCUUAUUUUUAACCAGAAAAGUGCAUUAAAAGCAAGUUGAAAAAAAUGAAAAAAACGACAUACUAACCCCUUACGUUUUUUGUCAAAAAUCACCAAAUUAAAAAUCUAGCAUUUUAUGCCAUUUUUGGGCGCUUCUCAGGCCCCUGUUGAGUGUGUGUGAGGUUUCCCCCUUAUUUUUGACCAGAAAAGUGCAUUAAAAGCAAGUUGAAAAAAAUGAAAAAAACGACAUACUAACCCCUUACGUUUUUUGUCAAAAAUCAACAAAUUAGAAACCUGGCAUUUUAUGCCGUUUUUGGGUGCUUCUCAGUCCCCUAAUGUGUGUGUGUGAGGUUUCCUUUUUAUUUUUGACCAGAAAAGUGCAUUAAAAGCAAGUUGAAAAAAAUGAAAAAAACGACAUACUAACCCCUUACGUUUUUUCCAAAAAAAUCACAAAAUUAAAAACCUGGCAUUUUAUGCCGUUUUUGGGUGCUCCUGGUGCCCCUGUUGAGUGUGUGUGAGGUUUCCUCCUUAUUUUUAACCAGAAAAGUGCAUUAAAAGCAAGUUGAAAAAAAAAUAAAAAAACGACAUACUAACCCUUUACGUUUUUUUCAAAAAAUCACCAAAUUAAAAAUCUAGCAUUUUAUGCCAUUUUUGGGCGCUUCUCAGGCCCCUGUUGAGUGUGUGUGAGGUUUCCCCCUUAUUUUUGACCAGAAAAGUGCAUUAAAAGCAAGUUGAAAAAAAUGAAAAAAACGACAUACUAACCCCUUACGUUUUUUGUCAAAAAUCAACAAAUUAGAAACCUGGCAUUUUAUGCCGUUUUCGGGUGCUUCUCAGGCCCCUGUUGAGUGUGUGUGAAGUUUCCCCCUUAUUUUUGACCAGAAAAGUGCAUUAAAAGCAAGUUGAAAAAAAUGAAAGAAAACGACAUACUAAUCCCUUACGUUUUUUGUCAAAAAUCACCAAAUUAAAAACCUGGCAUUUUAUGCCAUUUUUGGGUGCUCCUGGUGCCCCUGUUGAGUGUGUGUGAGGUUUCCCCCUUAUUUUUAACCAGAAAAGUGCAUUAAAAGCAAGUUGAAAAAAAUGAAAGAAAACGACAUACUAAUCCCUUACGUUUUUUGUCAAAAAUCACCAAAUUAAAAACCUGGCAUUUUAUGCCAUUUUUGGGUGCUCCUGGUGCCCCUGGUGUGUGUGUGUGAGGUUUCCCCCUUAUUUUUGACCAGAAAAGUGCAUUAAAAGCAGGUUGAAAAAAAUGAAAAAAACGACAUACUAACCCCUUACGUUUUUUCCAAAAAAUCACAAAAUUAAAAACCUGGCAUUUUAUGCCGUUUUCGGGUGCUCCUGGGGCCCCUGUUGAGUGUGUGUGAGGUUUCCUCCUUAUUUUUAACCAGAAAAGUGCAUUAAAAGCAAGUUGAAAAAAAUGAAAAAAACGACAUACGUUUUUUGUCAAAAAUCACCAAAUUAAAAAUCUAGCAUUUUAUGCCAUUUUUGGGCGCUUCUCAGGCCCCUGUUGAGUGUGUGUGAGGUUUCCCCCUUAUUUUUGACCAGAAAAGUGCAUUAAAAGCAAGUUGAAAAAAAUGAAAAAAACGACAUACUAACCCCUUACGUUUUUUGUCAAAAAUCAACAAAUUAGAAACCUGGCAUUUUAUGCCGUUUUUGGGUGCUUCUCAGUCCCCUAAUGUGUGUGUGUGAGGUUUCCUUUUUAUUUUUGACCAGAAAAGUGCAUUAAAAGCAAGUUGAAAAAAAUGAGAAAAACGACAUACUAACCCCUUACGUUUUUUGUCAAAAAUCAACAAAUUAGAAACCUGGCAUUUAAUGCCGUUUUUGGGUGCUCCUGGUGCCCCUGUUGAGUGUGUGUGAGGUUUCCCCCUUAUUUUUGACCAGAAAAGUGCAUUAAAAGCAAGUUGAAAAAAAUGAAAAAAACGACAUACGUUUUUUGUCAAAAAUCACCAAAUUAAAAAUCUAGCAUUUUAUGCCAUUUUUGGGCGCUUCUCAGGCCCCUGGUGUGUGUGUGUGAGGUUUCCCCCUUAUUUUUGACCAGAAAAGUGCAUUAAAAGCAAGUUGAAAAAAAAAUAAAAAAACGACAUACUAACCCCUUACGUUUUUUGUCAAAAAUAAACAAAUUAGAAACCUGGCAUUUAAUGCCAUUUUUGGGUGCUCCUGGUGCCCCUGUUGAGUGUGUGUGAGGUUUCCUCCUUAUUUUUAACCAGAAAAGUGCAAUAAAAGCAAGUUGAAAAAAAUGAAAAAAACGACAUACUAACCCCUUACGUUUUUUGUCAAAAAUCACCAAAUUAAAAAUCUAGCAUUUUAUGCCAUUUUUGGGCGCUUCUCAGGCCCCUGGUGUGUGUGUGUGAGGUUUCCCCCUUAUUUUUGACCAGAAAAGUGCAUUAAAAGCAAGUUGAAAAAAAUGAAAAAAACGACAUACUAACCCCUUACGUUUUUUGUCAAAAAUCACCAAAUUAAAAAUCUAGCAUUUUAUGCCAUUUUUGGGCGCUUCUCAGGCCCCUGAUGUGUGUGUGUGAGGUUUCCCCCUUAUUUUUGACCAGAAAAGUGCAUUAAAAGCAGGUUGAAAAAAAUGAAAAAAAACGACAUACUAACCCCUUACGUUUUUUCCAAAAAAUCACAAAAUUAAAAACCUGGCAUUUUAUGCCGUUUUCGGGUGCUCCUGGGGCCCCUGUUGAGUGUGUGUGAGGUUUCCCCCUUAUUUUUAACCAGAAAAGUGCAUUAAAAGCAAGUUGAAAAAAAUGAAAAAAACGACAUACUAACCCCUUACGUUUUUUGUCAAAAAUCACCAAAUUAAAAAUCUAGCAUUUUAUGCCAUUUUUGGGCGCUUCUCAGGCCCCUGUUGAGUGUGUGUGAGGUUUCCCCCUUAUUUUUGACCAGAAAAGUGCAUUAAAAGCAAGUUGAAAAAAAUGAAAAAAACGACAUACUAACCCCUUACGUUUUUUGUCAAAAAUCAACAAAUUAGAAACCUGGCAUUUUAUGCCGUUUUUGGGUGCUUCUCAGUCCCCUAAUGUGUGUGUGUGAGGUUUCCUUUUUAUUUUUGACCAGAAAAGUGCAUUAAAAGCAAGUUGAAAAAAAUGAAAAAAACGACAUACUAACCCCUUACGUUUUUUCCAAAAAAAUCACAAAAUUAAAAACCUGGCAUUUUAUGCCGUUUUUGGGUGCUCCUGGUGCCCCUGUUGAGUGUGUGUGAGGUUUCCUCCUUAUUUUUAACCAGAAAAGUGCAUUAAAAGCAAGUUGAAAAAAAAAUAAAAAAACGACAUACUAACCCUUUACGUUUUUUUCAAAAAAUCACCAAAUUAAAAAUCUAGCAUUUUAUGCCAUUUUUGGGCGCUUCUCAGGCCCCUGUUGAGUGUGUGUGAGGUUUCCCCCUUAUUUUUGACCAGAAAAGUGCAUUAAAAGCAAGUUGAAAAAAAUGAAAAAAACGACAUACUAACCCCUUACGUUUUUUGUCAAAAAUCAACAAAUUAGAAACCUGGCAUUUUAUGCCGUUUUUGGGUGCUUCUCAGUCCCCUAAUGUGUGUGUGUGAGGUUUCCUUUUUAUUUUUGACCAGAAAAGUGCAUUAAAAGCAAGUUGAAAAAAAUGAGAAAAACGACAUACUAACCCCUUACGUUUUUUGUCAAAAAUCAACAAAUUAGAAACCUGGCAUUUAAUGCCGUUUUUGGGUGCUCCUGGUGCCCCUGUUGAGUGUGUGUGAGGUUUCCCCCUUAUUUUUGACCAGAAAAGUGCAUUAAAAGCAAGUUGAAAAAAAUGAAAAAAACGACAUACGUUUUUUGUCAAAAAUCACCAAAUUAAAAAUCUAGCAUUUUAUGCCAUUUUUGGGCGCUUCUCAGGCCCCUGUAUGUAUAUAUACAUACAUACACAUAUAUAUGUAUGAACAUGUAUACAUACAUACAUACAUAUAUAAAUAUGCUUUACCGGGGUUGUUCUUCUCCAGUUGAUACCAGCGGAAGAAGGCUCGUUUCUUCUGCUCGCUCAGGUCCGAUCCUUGCUGGAUGAGCCAGUGGGAGAUGCGGCUCUGGCUAAUU
Molecule: non-coding RNA, 12467 nt
Organism: Doryrhamphus excisus (bluestripe pipefish)
Lineage: Eukaryota; Metazoa; Chordata; Actinopteri; Syngnathiformes; Syngnathidae
Source: RefSeq, a predicted model, not a curated record